This 147-nucleotide unclassified non-coding RNA is filed under the name soil metagenome. RNAcentral's name for it is "partial internal transcribed spacer 1". The record is from RNAcentral.
ACGAGUUAGGGCCUCUGGCCCGAACCUCCAACCCUUUGUAUCAAAACCUCGUUGCCUCGGGGAGGCCCUGCCUCACGGCUGGCCCCCCGAUGGACCACUAAACUCUGCAUCUGUAUGACGUCUGAGUAGAGAUUUUAAAUUAAAUCA